UGCCAGCCGCCGCGGUAAUACGUAGGGUGCAAGCGUUAAUCGGAAUUACUGGGCGUAAAGCGCGCGUAGGCGGCUUGGUCAGUCAGAUGUGAAAGCCCCGGGCUUAACCUGGGAAUUGCAUUUGAUACUGCCAAGCUAGAGUACAGUAGAGGGGGGUAGAAUUCCGGGUGUAGCGGUGAAAUGCGUAGAUAUCCGGAGGAAUACCAGUGGCGAAGGCGGCCCCCUGGACUGAUACUGACGCUGAGGUGCGAAAGCGUGGGGAGCAAACAGGAUUAGAUA
This 279-nucleotide ribosomal RNA is filed under the name uncultured bacterium. RNAcentral describes it as "partial 16S ribosomal RNA". It matches the Rfam family "Bacterial small subunit ribosomal RNA", at positions 506 to 784 of the family's 1533-position model. The record is from RNAcentral.